RNAcentral lists this ribosomal RNA (535 nucleotides) under Scedosporium boydii. Its description in RNAcentral is "eukaryotic LSU rRNA". It matches the Rfam family "Eukaryotic large subunit ribosomal RNA", at positions 74 to 627 of the family's 3401-position model. The record is from RNAcentral. RNAcentral also lists the same sequence under 1 other name. Lineage: Eukaryota; Fungi; Ascomycota; Sordariomycetes; Microascales; Microascaceae.
AUUGCCUCAGUAACGGCGAGUGAAGCGGCAACAGCUCAAAUUUGAAAUCUGGCGGCCUCUGGGCCGUCCGAGUUGUAAUUUGAAGAGGAUGCUUUUGGCGAGGCGCCUUCCGAGUGCCCUGGAACGGGACGCCACAGAGGGUGAGAGCCCCGUAUGGUUGGACGCCGAGCCUCUGUAAAGCUCCUUCGACGAGUCGAGUAGUUUGGGAAUGCUGCUCAAAAUGGGAGGUAAACCCCUUCUAAAGCUAAAUACUGGCCAGAGACCGAUAGCGCACAAGUAGAGUGAUCGAAAGAUGAAAAGCACUUUGAAAAGAGAGUUAAACAGCACGUGAAAUUGUUGAAAGGGAAGCGCUUGCGACCAGACUUGUGCCCGUCGAAUCAGCCGCCGCUCGUCGGCGGCGCACUUCGGCGGGCUCAGGCCAGCAUCAGUUCGCUGCAGGGGGAGAAAGGCGAUGGGAAUGUGGCUCUUCGGAGUGUUAUAGCCCGCCGCGCAAUACCCCUCGGCGGACUGAGGACCGCGCAUCUGCAAGGAUGCU